GUGAACGCUGGCGGUAGGCCUAACACAUGCCAGUCGAACGGCAGCACAGUAAGAGCUUGCUCUUACGGGUGGCGAGUGGCGGACGGGUGAGGAAUACAUCGGAAUCUACUUUUUCGUGGGGGAUAACGUAGGGAAACUUACGCUAAUACCGCAUACGACCUACGGGUGAAAGCAGGGGAUCUUCGGACCUUGCGCGAUUGAAUGAGCCGAUGUCGGAUUAGCUAGUUGGCGGGGUAAAGGCCCACCAAGGCGACGAUCCGUAGCUGGUCUGAGAGGAUGAUCAGCCGCACUGGAACUGAGACACGGUCCAGACUCCUACGGGAGGCAGCAGUGGGGAAUAUUGGACAAUGGGCGCAAGCCUGAUCCAGCCAUACCGCGUGGGUGAAGAAGGCCUUCGGGUUGUAAAGCCCUUUUGUUGGGAAAGAAAAGCAGCAGGUUAAUACCCCGCUGUUCUGACGGUACCCAAAGAAUAAGCACCGGCUAACUUCGU
RNAcentral lists this ribosomal RNA (490 nucleotides) under uncultured bacterium. Its description in RNAcentral is "partial 16S ribosomal RNA". It matches the Rfam family "Bacterial small subunit ribosomal RNA", at positions 29 to 506 of the family's 1533-position model. The record is from RNAcentral.